CUGUGUGUGUGUGUGUGUGUGUGUGUGUGUGUGUGUCUGUGUGUGUGUGUCUGUGUGUGUGUGUGAGAGUGUGUGUAUCUGUGUGUGUGUCUGUGUGUGUGUGUCUCUGUGUGUCUGUGUGUGUAUCUCUGUGUGAGUGUGUGUGUCUGUGUGUAUGAGUGUGUGUGUCUGUGUGUGUGAGUGUGUGUGUCUGUAUGUGUGUGAGUGUGUGUGUCUGUGUGUCUGUGUCUGUGAGUGUGUCUGUGUGUGUGUGUGAGUGCGUGUGUGGUCAGAAGACAGCAUUGGCGGUGAGUCCUUACCUGCUACCUUCUUUUGAGACAGAAUUUCUUGUUUUACAUCUGUAUAUGAGAUGCCAGGUGGCCCGAGAGCUUUCAGACGUUUUCCUCUCUCUGCUUCCCAUUUCCUGUGAGUACACUGGAGUUAUAGACACCUGACCCAACCACAUGGCUUUACAUGGGUUCUUGGGAUUCAAACUUAGGUCUUCACACUUGUGUGAGAGUGCUUUACCCAUUGAGCUGUUUCCCCAGCCCAAAAUGUGGAAGCUUUCUCUUCUCAUUUAUUUGUUUGUUUGUUUGUUUGUUUUCUCUGUGAGACAGGCUGUCUCCUCCCCCCCACCCUCUGUAGAACAGACUGGUCCAAAACUCAGAGAUCCUUCUGCCUCUGCUUCCUGAGUGCUGGAAUUAAAGAUGUAUGUCACCAGUACUUGGCUUCCCUCCCUCCCUCCCUCCUUCCCUCUCCCCCUCCCUCCCUCCUUUCUUUCUCUCUUUAAGACACGGUCUAAUCAUGUAGCUUUGACUGGCCUGGAACUCACUAUGUAGACUCAGAGCUGCCCAUUUCGGCCUCCCAAAUGCCACCACAACCACACUAACAUCCACAUGUGACAGCACACUUCCAAGUAAUAGUCUAGAGAUAGACAGAGUCCUAAGGCGGCCUUGUUGACUUUAUUCAGUACUUAGGAACCUUUCUGUGUGUUAAGUGUUGUUGAAAGCGCCCGGUAGCUAUCUGUGAGUAAUUACACCUUCACAGAGUCGGCUUCUAGAGUAAUAUGUAACUCCAGGGACUCAGUGAAAAGCAGAAGGUUUGUUAAGUAUGUGCCAUGACAACAGACUCUAUACUGAUUAUCUUACAAAAAUGAAUUCACCUAAAUCCUUAUUUAUUUUCAAAUAAUAUGUAUUCAUUUUUAUGUGUGAGCAUUUUGCCUGCACUUUAAUGUCCGUGUACCACGAAUGUGCUUGGUACCCAGGGAGGUCAGAAUAUGGCACUGGGUCCCCUGGAACUGGAGUUACUGGAUGAUUAUGAACCACCAUUGUGGGUCCUGGGACUCAAACCCGGAUCCCCUGCAAGAGGGACAAGCUCUUAACCACUGAGCUAUCUCUCCAGCCCAUAGAUCAGGAGGAGAAUGAGGCCUAGGGAGGAAAAGGGCUUAGAGUUAGCAGGUAGCGGUGUCAGAUUUCUGUCAGAAGCCAGUGUUCUUAAUCACAGUGCUGUCCUGCCUCACUGCACGAGGAGCUGCACCCGGGCCAGAGCCCGGACUCGGAAGACUUGAGGAGAUGGGCCAGAACCUGGAAAAGAGUAAAAGGAAUACGUUCAUGAUAUUUUAAGCUGAUGUUUUGGGACAGGAUGACCAAGAAUUAGUAGUAGACAUGCUGAAGACGGUUUAGGGCAGCGGUUCUCAACCUUCCUAAUGCUGCAACCCCUUCAACACAGUUCCUCAUGUUGAGGUGACCCCCAGCCGUAACAUUAUUUUGUUGCUACUUCCUAGCUGUAAUCUUGCUACUGUUAUGAAUCAUAAUAUGAAUAUCUGAUACACAACCCCCCCAGAGGGUCUGGACUCACAGGUUGAGAACCAUUGGUUUAGGGUCUAACCACUGAGUGCUGCUGCUUGAGGUCGCUGAGCUUUGUCUGGGAAACAGAAGAUUCACUCUGCCUUUGUGCCCACCACCUCUACUGCAGCCCCGGAACAUGACCUUGAACCAGAGGAGCCUAAUAGAGAACAGGCCACCCUUAAGAUUGCUCUGAUAUCAGCCUGGCCUUUCCAGAAAACUUGCGUUGUAAGCGAAGGUUCCUUAUUAUGGCUUACAAGUCAUGUGAUGGUGUGGAAAGGAAAUUAGGGUUACUAGGGUGGAGUUCUCACUGUGAUACAGCAUCUUGUAGUUGCGCGGCCUUAGACAAGGUCCCCGAGCACCCCUGGGGCGUGGUCUCUUUCCCCCUGGGGCGAGGUCUCUGUCCCUCCCCCCGGGCGUGGUCUCCUUCCUCCUGGGGCGUGGUCUCCUUCCCAUGGGGCGUGGCCUCCUUCCCCUGGGAUGUGGUCUUCUUACUCCCGGGGCAUAGUCUCCUUCCCCCCCCCCGGGGCGUGGUCUCCUUACUCCUGGGGCGUGGUCUCCUUCCCCCCUGGGGCGUGGUCUCCUUACUCCUGGGGCAUGGUCUCCUUCCCCCCCCUGGGGCGUGGUCUCUUUAUUCCUGGGGUGUGGCCUCCUUCCCCCUGGGGCGUGGUCUCUUCUCCAGGGGCGUGGUCUCCUUACCCUUGGGUGGUCUCCACAGGAGCCAGGUAAAGCAAAUGGGGAAGCAUUACUUUCAAGCUCUCUAGAUCUGACAAAAGGAGAAUCAACAGACAUGAUGUCCCUAAAUUUAAGUAUAAUGAGUAUGAUAAUUCCAAACAAAAAUACCAAGCAUUAUAUAAACUCCAUGAUAUUCAAGGUAAUCACCUGAAUUCUUUAGGAUAUACUCCACCACCCUGGCUGCCAAGAUGCAUGACUGAAUAACUACUUCAUUUUAUGUGGGCAAAUCAGUAGCUCAAGAUAACAAGGAAGGACAUGUUUUACAGCGUGUGCAGUAAACACACUGAGGCCCAAAUGCUGACGGCUGCAUUGGAAAAGGAUCUGGGCGGAAUGGUUUGCCUACAUUCAAAUUCUGUAUCUGGAGCCAUUUUCUGAAGGGAGUGUCCCUUAAAUUUAAGUCCCUUAUUAAUGAAUAAGUUCUUUGUUUCCUCUAGUCUCCUCUUUGUUGCCGUGAUUAAAAAAAAAUACCCCAACAAAAAGCAUCUUGGGGAAAGAAAGGGUUUAUUUGACCACCUACCAUGGAUGCUAGCCCCAAACUCAGGUCACCAGGAAGAGUAGCAGGCAUUCCUCACCAUCUCUUUAACUCUCGGGCCAGUACAUUCUAAAAGAUGUGUGUUAUUUGUACUUUCUGUGUAUGAGUGUCUUGCCUGCUUGCCUGUGUAGUGUGUGUGUGUGUGUGUGUGUGUGUGUGUGUGUGCUGUGUGCUGUGUCAGAACCGUCAGACCCCCUGGAACUGGAAAUACACAUUGUUACCAUCUGCUAUGUGGGUGUGAGAACCAAGCAGGGUUCUCUGCAAGAGCAACACGUACUCUCAACUGCCAAGCCACCUCUCCAGCCUCUCAAACUGUUUUUAAAAGUUUUUUUGAAAAAUUUAAAUUAUUUAUUUCAUUUAAAUUGUUCAUAUAUUCCCAACUUUUGCAGAGUUCUUAAGUGUUGCCUUUAAAAUUAUUGCAUCUUUUUAACAUUGUCAAUAUUAAAAUUCAUAGCCAGGUUACCCAGAGAGUGGUGCCUCAGACCUCUAAUCCCAGCACUCAGGAGCAGAGGCAGAGGCAGGCAGAUCUCUGUGAGUUCGAGGGCAGCCUGGUCUAGAGAGCUAGUUCCAGGAUGACCAGGACUACCUAUAGAGGCCCUAUUUCAACCCACCCUCCAAGGAAAAUCAGGCAGUGUUGCCACAGGAGUCUCUGUUUUAUUUGUCUAGCAUGUCUCAUCCCUGGCAGACUUUUAAGAUGCGUAUGUAAUUACCCCCGUCUUCACUUUGUACACCAGCUCAUGGAUACACGUACGCUUCCCCACUCUGAGGACUUCUCCGGAAUAACUUCUCAGUUAAUGGGGCCUCAUUAGACUCCAGGGUAAUAACGUGCAGUGUGUCUUGUGGGACGAAUAAAAUUUUAUUUGUCAUUUUCA
This is a non-coding RNA of Rattus norvegicus (Norway rat), 3962 nucleotides long. NCBI's taxonomy places the organism in Eukaryota, Metazoa, Chordata, Mammalia, Rodentia, Muridae. The record is from RefSeq and is a predicted model, not a curated record.